AGUUGAUAUACAGGACUGAGAGAGG
RNAcentral lists this non-coding RNA (25 nucleotides) under Cricetulus griseus (Chinese hamster). The record is from RNAcentral. Lineage: Eukaryota; Metazoa; Chordata; Mammalia; Rodentia; Cricetidae.